AAUUAACUACUUAGUCCCUCUAUUGUGAAAAAUACACUAGUUAGGCCCCCUAUUUUUAGUCAAUGAAUUAUUUAGCCCCUCCCAUUAACUUUUUUGUUAGUCAAGUUAAUCAAAAGAAAAAGAAUACUUACAACAGGAGCUAAAUAACCGAUAGAUUUAAAAUUACGGGACUAAAUAAUUGUAUUAUUCAAAUUGCAAGGACUAUAUAAUUGAGUUGGGAAAAAAUUGAUUUAAAAUAAUGGGGAGGGACUAAAAAGUUCGCAAACUAAAAAAUAA
RNAcentral lists this unclassified non-coding RNA (276 nucleotides) under Hevea brasiliensis (rubber tree). The record is from RNAcentral. Lineage: Eukaryota; Viridiplantae; Streptophyta; Magnoliopsida; Malpighiales; Euphorbiaceae.